Molecule: ribosomal RNA, 2331 nt
Filed under: Escherichia coli
Lineage: Bacteria; Pseudomonadati; Pseudomonadota; Gammaproteobacteria; Enterobacterales; Enterobacteriaceae
Description: partial 23S ribosomal RNA
Rfam family: Bacterial large subunit ribosomal RNA
Source: RNAcentral
CCUUUUGUAUAAUGGGUCAGCGACUUAUAUUCUGUAGCAAGGUUAACCGAAUAGGGGAGCCGAAGGGAAACCGAGUCUUAACUGGGCGUUAAGUUGCAGGGUAUAGACCCGAAACCCGGUGAUCUAGCCAUGGGCAGGUUGAAGGUUGGGUAACACUAACUGGAGGACCGAACCGACUAAUGUUGAAAAAUUAGCGGAUGACUUGUGGCUGGGGGUGAAAGGCCAAUCAAACCGGGAGAUAGCUGGUUCUCCCCGAAAGCUAUUUAGGUAGCGCCUCGUGAAUUCAUCUCCGGGGGUAGAGCACUGUUUCGGCAAGGGGGUCAUCCCGACUUACCAACCCGAUGCAAACUGCGAAUACCGGAGAAUGUUAUCACGGGAGACACACGGCGGGUGCUAACGUCCGUCGUGAAGAGGGAAACAACCCAGACCGCCAGCUAAGGUCCCAAAGUCAUGGUUAAGUGGGAAACGAUGUGGGAAGGCCCAGACAGCCAGGAUGUUGGCUUAGAAGCAGCCAUCAUUUAAAGAAAGCGUAAUAGCUCACUGGUCGAGUCGGCCUGCGCGGAAGAUGUAACGGGGCUAAACCAUGCACCGAAGCUGCGGCAGCGACGCUGAUGCGUUGUUGGGUAGGGGAGCGUUCUGUAAGCCUGCGAAGGUGUGCUGUGAGGCAUGCUGGAGGUAUCAGAAGUGCGAAUGCUGACAUAAGUAACGAUAAAGCGGGUGAAAAGCCCGCUCGCCGGAAGACCAAGGGUUCCUGUCCAACGUUAAUCGGGGCAGGGUGAGUCGACCCCUAAGGCGAGGCCGAAAGGCGUAGUCGAUGGGAAACAGGUUAAUAUUCCUGUACUUGGUGUUACUGCGAAGGGGGGACGGAGAAGGCUAUGUUGGCCGGGCGACGGUUGUCCCGGUUUAAGCGUGUAGGCUGGUUUUCCAGGCAAAUCCGGAAAAUCAAGGCUGAGGCGUGAUGACGAGGCACUACGGUGCUGAAGCAACAAAUGCCCUGCUUCCAGGAAAAGCCUCUAAGCAUCAGGUAACAUCAAAUCGUACCCCAAACCGACACAGGUGGUCAGGUAGAGAAUACCAAGGCGCUUGAGAGAACUCGGGUGAAGGAACUAGGCAAAAUGGUGCCGUAACUUCGGGAGAAGGCACGCUGAUAUGUAGGUGAAGUCCCUUGCGGAUGGAGCUGAAAUCAGUCGAAGAUACCAGCUGGCUGCAACUGUUUAUUAAAAACACAGCACUGUGCAAACACGAAAGUGGACGUAUACGGUGUGACGCCUGCCCGGUGCCGGAAGGUUAAUUGAUGGGGUCAGCGCAAGCGAAGCUCUUGAUCGAAGCCCCGGUAAACGGCGGCCGUAACUAUAACGGUCCUAAGGUAGCGAAAUUCCUUGUCGGGUAAGUUCCGACCUGCACGAAUGGCGUAAUGAUGGCCAGGCUGUCUCCACCCGAGACUCAGUGAAAUUGAACUCGCUGUGAAGAUGCAGUGUACCCGCGGCAAGACGGAAAGACCCCGUGAACCUUUACUAUAGCUUGACACUGAACAUUGAGCCUUGAUGUGUAGGAUAGGUGGGAGGCUUGGAAGUGUGGACGCCAGUCUGCAUGGAGCCGACCUUGAAAUACCACCCUUUAAUGUUUGAUGUUCUAACGUUGACCCGUAAUCCGGGUUGCGGACAGUGUCUGGUGGGUAGUUUGACUGGGGCGGUCUCCUCCUAAAGAGUAACGGAGGAGCACGAAGGUUGGCUAAUCCUGGUCGGACAUCAGGAGGUUAGUGCAAUGGCAUAAGCCAGCUUGACUGCGAGCGUGACGGCGCGAGCAGGUGCGAAAGCAGGUCAUAGUGAUCCGGUGGUUCUGAAUGGAAGGGCCAUCGCUCAACGGAUAAAAGGUACUCCGGGGAUAACAGGCUGAUACCGCCCAAGAGUUCAUAUCGACGGCGGUGUUUGGCACCUCGAUGUCGGCUCAUCACAUCCUGGGGCUGAAGUAGGUCCCAAGGGUAUGGCUGUUCGCCAUUUAAAGUGGUACGCGAGCUGGGUUUAGAACGUCGUGAGACAGUUCGGUCCCUAUCUGCCGUGGGCGCUGGAGAACUGAGGGGGGCUGCUCCUAGUACGAGAGGACCGGAGUGGACGCAUCACUGGUGUUCGGGUUGUCAUGCCAAUGGCACUGCCCGGUAGCUAAAUGCGGAAGAGAUAAGUGCUGAAAGCAUCUAAGCACGAAACUUGCCCCGAGAUGAGUUCUCCCUGACCCUUUAAGGGUCCUGAAGGAACGUUGAAGACGACGACGUUGAUAGGCCGGGUGUGUAAGCGCAGCGAUGCGUUGAGCUAACCGGUACUAAUGAACCGUGAG